UCUAUUAAAGGAGACCAUUCAAAUUUAAAACGAGAUUACUCUUUACAAGAAAGGUGGCUUAUCUCUCCUAGGGAGAGAUGCCUCGCUCUCAUCAGAUACCACCCUGACAGACCCAACAAAGCAGCCUCUCCUAGCAGAGCCUCGCAAGGCGGCUGCUGGUGAACCAAAGACAGUUCCUUGCAGCGGCCAUCUCCCGACCUUCAGGGCUCCUUGGAGCUCCACCAGCUCCGUGGCCCGGCCUAGAAAUGCCUGGGAAUCCCCCGGCACCCGAGGGGUGCCAUGUCGGGCGACUCGGGGGCAGCUCCGCACCCAACCGGGGCUGCGACCCCUCUGCCUGGGGGCACUCCAAGCCGGAACCAGCUUUCACACUCAUCUCCCCGCCAGCUUUCCCGGACCCUCGGAGGGCUCCCUCCGGACCCCCGAGCUUUGCCCCCCGCCUCCCCUCUUCCUCCCUCCGCCAACAGCGGGCUCCUGGCCGCUGCCCCAGGUUCCCUCCGCUGAAGAAGUCGGGAGCUGCCCGGGGCUGGGGCUACGCCCGUCAUGGCGGCGGGGCCGCGGGGCCUGAGGGACGGCGGCUGGAUGGCGGCGGCGCGGCCCCGGCAGGGGGAGCCGGAGACCGCCGGGCUGAGAUGCUUGUUAAUUUUUGAGGAAGGCAAGUACAGCUUCAUUAUGUCAGUUUCGAAGAGUUAGAUACCGAAAACAAUUCAUCACAAUGAAGUGAGGCACUUCAAAUGUCAGAAAGCUUUAAUUUUAAUCACCUGCUCUCGGAGUCGACCCUGAAGCCUGGAUCAGCUCCUGCUUGUGCUCCCAGAGUGAGGCGUAGGAAGAGCUAGCUGUGGCACAGCGACUGCCAGGACGCUGGGAUGGGCACAGGACGGGCCUGCCUGGGAGAAAACACCGAGCAGAAAGAAAAGUCCUGUAUCAUAAUGGUAUGGAUGCUAGCAGCCAGAAUUGUGGUUGAGGAAUAAUUUGGCAGGCUACUAUUGGGAGGGACAGGGGAAAACUCCAGGAAUAAGCAACCAGAAGUUUCUUGAAUCAAGUGUGUCAAAUCUCCACCAACACUUAUCACCUUUAGGACAGCCAUGGAGUGUGGGAAGGAUGGGUCUGGUUGCCAAAGCUCUGGGCACCACUCCCCUUUUAAAGCAAGAGAGUGGGAUUUGAAAGCCUGUGAGAGCAGAUGGAGUGGCGGUGCUCUUCCACCACUCUUUAUUUCUUGGAAAUUUCUGCAAUUUCUUUGGGUGCAGAGCUGGCUGGUGCUCAUUCGCUCCACAUGGGAUCCUCACAAGGGGAGUAACCUACCAUAAAGGUAUUGGAAAGCUUCACACACGCACCUUUUCCUUGAGCUGCAUAUCUGGAAGAAGUUUGAGCUGUUAUGAAGGCAUUGAAGGAGGAAUAUCCUACACAGAAGGAGGGAGCAAAAUGUGGGGUUCAGUGGUUUUCGUUACAAGGUGUGCUGUAUUUCAAAAAUGACAAAAAAAGGAAGCAAGGGGCCGGUGGACUUGGGUGAGAUCAACUCUGAUCUAGUCACUGGUGCUGAGGAACCAAGAGAGCAGUUGGGUUGACACAAACUAAAAAUGAGUGAAGCUGCAUGUCAUGCCCGUUGACCUUCGCCCCCAAAGGAUGCCCUAAACCAGUGCAAAUCAGAGACUCUUUUAGAUCCUCUUCCCUCCCCACACCGUACUGUUCUUCCAUGCCUCCUGGGAAACCCUGCUGUCUGCUGUUGAUGUUUCACUGAUGCGUCCUCAGCCUCCUCCACCUUGUCCAGCUCUGACAGCUGAUGCUCUUCCAGGCAGGGAGCGGAUCUCUCCUCUGUUUCAAGACCUGCUUACAAGCAAGAUGUUUCUACAGCUGGGUCGGGAACAGGGAAGCAGUGGUUCAGAUCUUUCUGAAAACUGGAGGAACUAUCACAGUGCCCUUCAAUACAGUAAGAAAUGUGGUUCACUAGUUGGUGUUGUAAGUGGGCAGAACGCCUGCUUCGGCUUUCUUAGGCUUAGUAUAGCAGGUGGUGUGAGCCAGCCCCAGGGUGCAGUCUCAGGCCUGGACUGUCUCACACAGUCCUGUCAGAGGGUCAUGCUCAGACAGAUUUCUGACCAGGACCUGCUGCAGGCUUGCUUGAGGAUUCGACUUUCUUCUGCUGAAUACUCCAGCCCGUUUCCACACGGUCUUCACCAGCCAGGUUCAAGUCUUCCUUGCCAUGUACAUAAGAAACUGGAGCGGUAGCUUAAGACUGGGAGCUGCCUGCUGAAGACUGCUUGGCUUCAGUCAGUACAAAGUCUUGCAAAAUACAGUACAAAGCCUUAUCUGGGGCCUGCAAUUUCUCUCUCCAGCAGGUAAUAAAGAGGAUGGGUGACUGCUUCAAGGGAGUGCUGGAAAAACAUUUUGCUUGAUAUAUUGUUUUCUUAACCCUUCUCUCCACUUCCUUGUUUUAUCUACUCUCCAGGCUUUUUUUUUUUCAUCUUACACACAGGCUGGUCCUGAGAACUAGGGGUUGUCUGCCAGGGUGACAAGUUCAGUUCCUUCCCAAGGAACUCUCGUGAGCCUCGCUGUCUCUGUGGGGAUCACUCAAGCAGGAAAGAGUGAGGAGAAAUACUGGUGAGAAGGUUUGAAGAAGAGGAGAGACUUGCAGUGACAAGGAUGCUUUUGCUUCGACACAAACAAUUAUUAUCUCUUCCUGCUCGUUUCGUUUCUUAAUAAACAUCCUGCUCCCUGAA
Cygnus olor (mute swan) is the source of this 2711-nucleotide long non-coding RNA. RefSeq lists it as uncharacterized. Lineage: Eukaryota; Metazoa; Chordata; Aves; Anseriformes; Anatidae. The record is from RefSeq and is a predicted model, not a curated record. The transcript is spliced from 4 exons.